Molecule: ribosomal RNA, 253 nt
Filed under: uncultured bacterium
Lineage: Bacteria
Description: partial 16S ribosomal RNA
Rfam family: Bacterial small subunit ribosomal RNA
Source: RNAcentral
UACAGAGGUCUCAAGCGUUGUUCGGAUUCAUUGGGCGUAAAGGGUGCGUAGGCGGCGCGGUAAGUCGGGUGUGAAAUUUCGAGGCUUAACUUCGAAACUGCAUUCGAUACUGCCGUGCUAGAGGACUGGAGAGGAGACUGGAAUUUACGGUGUAGCGGUGAAAUGCGUAGAUAUCAGGAGGAACACCGGUGGUGUAGACGGCUUUCUGGACCGUAACUGACGCUGAGACACGAAAGCGUGGGUAGCAAACAGG